RNAcentral lists this ribosomal RNA (253 nucleotides) under uncultured prokaryote. RNAcentral describes it as "partial 16S ribosomal RNA". It matches the Rfam family "Bacterial small subunit ribosomal RNA", at positions 524 to 776 of the family's 1533-position model. The record is from RNAcentral.
UACGGGGGGAGCAAGCGUUGUUCGGAAUCACUGGGCGUAAAGGGCGUGUAGGCGGUCCGCUAAGUCUGAUGUGAAAGCCCGGGGCUCACCCCCGGAAGGGCAUUGGAAACUGGCGGACUCGAGUCUCGGAGAGGAAGGUGGAAUUCCUGGUGUAGCGGUGAAAUGCGUAGAUAUCUGGAGGAACACCGGUGGCGAAGGCGGGUCUCUGGACAGUUCCUGACGCUCAGGCACGAAAGCCAGGGGAGCAAACGGG